GCUCGAGUGGCCUAGUGGUUAGAGCGUCCGCCUCGGAUGCUGGAGGUCGUGGGUUCGUUCCUCGGCCGUGUCA
Molecule: non-coding RNA, 73 nt
Organism: Potamilus streckersoni
Lineage: Eukaryota; Metazoa; Mollusca; Bivalvia; Unionida; Unionidae
Source: the annotation of a GenBank genome assembly